CUGUCCCGCCGGGACCCCUCAUGUGGGGUGGGUCGGGCUUCGUUGGAAGGCACGGAAUUGUGACCGGGGACAACCCGCCGUUAAGCGCUUUUGAAGGCUCAAAGGCUAGCUUUUCGGCACCGUGAAUCACGCAGAAUGCGGUAUCGAGGCCGGGCGGCGAUGAACAUUCAGCCAGUUGGCGACACUAAUACUGGAAUCAAUUGAGGAAUUUCGCGUGUACGGGAAUAGGCU
This 231-nucleotide unclassified non-coding RNA is filed under the name Hevea brasiliensis (rubber tree). The record is from RNAcentral. Lineage: Eukaryota; Viridiplantae; Streptophyta; Magnoliopsida; Malpighiales; Euphorbiaceae.